UUGGGACUUCAGGCUCCUGGAGGCCAGACGUAGCCACUGGGAAGUUAGCAUCUGUGAAGUUGUCCAUUGGGAAUUUCCAAGAGACCUACAUGGGCACCGGCAUCCAGGCCAAGCCAGGCAAGCUGGGCUGUGGUCCUAGGACCAGCCAAGCCUAGGGUGGCAGGGCUGAGCUGGGUAGGGCUAGGCUGGGAGAGAGAGGGCUGGGCUGAAAGAGAAGAGAAUUUUUUGCCUCCAGGCUCAUAAAUGCCUAUAUUGGGCAAGGCCUCUUGUUUCCUUGGGCUGUGACCAGGAGUCUCUCCAAAUCUGCCAGCCUGGCAUAAAUUCUCUCCCUCUGCCCAGAAAGGGACUGCAGCCUUCUAGAGGAGCCCUCUCAGUCCUCAAGUUGAUGAGGUAUGGGCAUCGGUGCCUCCAGCCUUACCUCCUGAGCAGAUGGAGAAAUGUAAGCAAACUCCAAGUAAAAGGGCUGGCUCUUCAUUCCCCUUGCUGUACCAGGACAGGACCCACAGGGCUGAGGACAACUGCUUCUGGAAAACACGGCUCCCAUGAGGCACUGAUCCAUGCCGUCACUGUGUCCCCCAGGGUGGUAGCUAAGCCCUGGCACAUGGUCCCCACAGCCCCCAGGCCAACAAACAGUCAUUAUGUCAUUACAUAAAUAAAUUACGUACUUAGGAUUUGGUGUGUGAGCACCAGUUAUUAUUACUGCUGCGUAACUAUACAGUUAACCUGAAGGGGAAGGCAGGCAGGAGGCCUGGGGGUGAUCCCCAACCCUGGGAAAGUUCUGCAGGCUCCCACCUCGGGGGGAUUGUGGCUCUGGGUUACACAAGAUGAAGUGCUGGAGUCUCCCAGGUAUCUCGAUGAAGAUGAGACAGCUUAGCCCAAGGCCGUCUCCUGGAAGAGGCUGGCAAGGCCUGAUGCCGGGGGCUGUCUGCCAGCCCAGUCCAUGCCCACAGCCUAACAGAUGGGCUCGCAGACAGCCCAGUUCCGCCAGGCCAAGAGGCCAUACAGGAAAGGGCUGAGGGAGAGCAUGAGGUCCCAAGGGGAAGGGCCUGUGACCCAAGAUUAUCUCUUCCCCAUCUUCAGGCCUGGGGACCACUCCCUCAGCUGCUCCCAGCCAUCUCCCCUCUUGCUGGCAAGCUUGGAACCUCAGGAAGCUCAGAUGGGGAUCUCUGGAGGUCAUCUAGUCCAACCUCGAACUUCCCAGAAAAGGAGGCUGGCCAGAGAGGGAAAGGGACUUGCCCAAGGGUCAAGGCUGCGGGACAUGGCCGCAGUGCCCCAGCCUACCUCCUGCCUGCCUCUUUUCAACAUCCCUCCUUUGUCUUCUCCCACUCCUGCCUCCUGCUCCUCCCUCAUCAUUGGGCUGCUCUACUUCCUCCCUUCCUCUCUCUCUCCUGCUUCCUGCCCUGCCCAGGCCUGCCUGUUGCCUCACCUCUCCCCUCCUUUACUCUCCCAUUGCUGCCUGGGCUUUCUUCUCCCGGCCCCUGGAGCUACAGGAGGCUCCCCACUCUUUGGCCCAUGCUUUCUGUUCUUUCCUGGUCCCUCCCCGGGCUCAUCCCGGGAUAGGCUAGCCUCUUCCCUUCCACCUCCUUCUCUCUUCUAAGAGGGUUCAAAAUGAAGGAAAAAGAGACCAAACUCUCAAGCCAGGAGCAGGAAUUCCCUUCUGGGUUUGGGGUGGGGCUGGGUGAGCCGAAGCACGAGGAGCCUCCUAAAUGGUGAGAAAGAAGACAGAGGGGCCCACCAGCAGCAGCCCCCUCCCCCCACCCUCCACCCCUCCUACCCCUGCAACCUGGGCUCUGGACCAGCUGACCUGUGUCCCCUGGGAACAAAAGGAAAGGGGAUGGAGGGCAUCCAUCAAAAGGGCAUGUCAGGAAAGUGUGGCUCAUUGCCUUAGCAGUGCUGGCAUGGCUUCUGAGCCUAAGGAGCUAACCCAGGCCUGGCCUUGGCAUUUCUGGAAGUCCAGAAAUGACUUCCUUAUCCACUUAGUGAAAUCCCAAUGGGAAAGUCCUGUGGGCACCCCCUUCUUUUUUUUUUUUUUUUUAAAGGAGAAAUCAAGUCUUGUUCAGACCAUCACAGUUGAGGGGGGACUAGUUUGGAGCCCAGGUGGGUUGACUGAUUUCCAGCUCUCUGCUGGCCUAAGGCUCAGUGAAGUUCAUACACCAAGGUGUGCAUGUAAGUGUACAUGCUGAGCAGGUAGGCACAGUUCUGAAGGGAACAUUCAGGGUGUACAGGUCUGUAUUUUGGCUCCAAAGGUAUUUGCAUCUUGCAAUCAAAGGCUUUUCUCCAAGGAUCUUGAGCAGCCCCAUUCUCUCACCCAGAUUCUUGUGGCCUUCCCGGGCUGGUGGACAAAGGGAUCCAGGGGCACUUCUCACUGUGUAGCCUAAGUCCCUAUAUGGAAAGUGAUCUGUUCGGGUUAACCUCAUUUCAGGGGCAAAACUGCAUCCAAGCCCAGAUGUCUCAGCAUUUAACCCAGCCCUUCUGGUCCAGACCAUGGAGCCCCUUUCUUUUGGGCUGCCCUGUUCUCUGCAAGCUGUGUGAGGGAGAUAGAGGCAGGAGUGAACUUGCGUGAAGGAGAAGAAAUCCAUCAGGGAUUUCUGAAGCUACAGGGAUGCUGAAGCUAUGGCCAGGGUGCAGCUUCAGCCAGAGGUGCUCUCCAGGUCUGGUGAGCUGGGACUGGCCCUCACUCCUUGCUCCCUGGGGCAUGCCUGGCUCCAGCCAGGGUCCUGCUGAGUCCUAGUUGUGUCCUAGAGUCCCUGGCGGGGUGGGCUUCCCAGGCCUUGCAUAAUCCCCCAGGGAGCAGGGUUUUCUCUGGUCCUGCAGGGAGUGGCAUAUUGAUCUAUUUCCUCCUCUGGCAGUGGGGAAUGACGAAUGACGAAAGAGAGGAGACUUGUGACUUGGAGACACUGAGGUGGGGUGGCUGAGGGUGAUGGUAUCCUCAUCCUCAAGGGCUUUUGACUCCUGGGCAAACAUACUUGGUUCUGGGAUACCUCAGGGAUGACUUUUGCUGGGGCAAGAUGUGGUCUUUAAAAGGACUGCUUCGGGCUUUCCCCAGCUUGACUUGCUUCUGGGGGAUUCCCACUGGUCAGGGAGUCGAAAGGGAGGAGGCAAAGGCCAGCUUGGUUCCAAGACCCCUUUUCAGGAAAACUGAUCCUCUCGGAGCCCUAAAGUCUCAGAUGGGGGUAAGAGUAGUGUGGUUUUCUUUCCUCUUUUCACUCAAAGGCAUUUUUGCACAUGACUCAAACAAGUCUAAACUUUCCUAAACUUCAAAGUUUGCCCAUGGCACAGCCUCAAAGUGGAGGAGAAAAUGUUAGAAAGGAAAAAAAAAAA
Molecule: long non-coding RNA, 3321 nt
Filed under: Canis lupus familiaris (dog)
Lineage: Eukaryota; Metazoa; Chordata; Mammalia; Carnivora; Canidae
Description: lncRNA (ENSCAFG00845001083.1)
Source: RNAcentral